CCCUUAGAUGUUCUGGGCCGCACGCGCGCUACACUGAUGCAUUCAACGAGCCUAUCCUUGACCGACAGGUCCGGGUAAUCUUUGAAUCUGCAUCGUGACGGGGAUAGAUUAUUGCAAUUAUUAAUCUUCAACGAGGAAUGCCUAGUAGGCGCAAGUCAUCAGCUCGCGUCGAUUACGUCCCUGCCCUUUGUACACACCGCCCGUCGCUCCUACCGAUUGGGUGUGCUGGUGAAAUGUUCGGAUCGGCCGUUUGUCGCGGUUUCCGCGGCUCGUGGCUGAGAAGUUCAUUAAACCCUCCCACCUAGAGGAAGGAGAAGUCGUAACA
RNAcentral lists this ribosomal RNA (325 nucleotides) under uncultured eukaryote. RNAcentral's name for it is "partial 18S ribosomal RNA". It matches the Rfam family "Eukaryotic small subunit ribosomal RNA", at positions 1470 to 1796 of the family's 1831-position model. The record is from RNAcentral.